Sorghum bicolor (sorghum) is the source of this 2231-nucleotide RNA transcript. It is a transcript of the gene named chloroplastic group IIB intron splicing facilitator CRS2, chloroplastic, with no coding region annotated. The record is from RefSeq and is a predicted model, not a curated record. NCBI's taxonomy places the organism in Eukaryota, Viridiplantae, Streptophyta, Magnoliopsida, Poales, Poaceae. The transcript is spliced from 10 exons.
UGUUCCUCCUUCCAAAUUUCAUUCCUCUGAAAAAAAAAGCUACAUCCUCUGGCCUCCGCGUUUCCUAUCGUUUCGGUUCGGCGCCGGCGCCGCCACCGCCUCCUCUCGACCGCUCGCCCGCCCGUUCGCCAUGUCGUUGCUCGCCGCGGCCACUCCCACCACUUCCUCCCACUUCUCCGCACCCCUCCUCCCCUCCUUCCACGUACCCCGCAGGAACCUCACCGCCCCACUCCACCGCAUCCGCCGUUCGCGGCUGUUGACCGUCGUCGCCUCCGUCCCCGACCCCGCGGCGGGGCCGGUGGAAUACACGCCUUGGCUCAUCGCCGGCCUCGGCAACCCAGGCAACAAGUACUACGGCACGCGGCACAAUGUGGGGUUUGAGAUGGUGGAUCGCAUCGCGGGGGAGGAGGGGAUCACGAUGAACACAAUCCAGUCCAAGUCGCUGCUGGGAAUUGGUUCAAUUGGCGAGGUGCCAGUCUUGGUGGUAAAACCGCAAUCAUACAUGAACUACAGUGGAGAGGCAAUUGGACCUCUUGCGGCCUAUUAUCAAGUACCAUUGCGACACAUCCUCUUGGUACUCAUCAUCAGUGUUCUUUUGAUGAUUUAUGAUGAUAUGAGCCUCCCCAAUGGUGUACUACGGCUUCAAAAGAAAGGUGGUCAUGGUCGCCACAACGGGCUACAGAAUGUGAUCGAGAAUUUGGAUGGUCGCAGAGAAUUUCCUCGUUUAUCUAUAGGCAUUGGUAGCCCACCUGGAAAAAUGGACCCACGAGCUUUCCUUCUGCAGAAGUUCAGUUCAGAGGAACGAGUCCAGGAAAAAGACAAAGGACCUUCCACCAUUUGGCUGAGCUAUCAUAGUUGGUGCAUAUAAAUGUUGGCUAUAGGCAAUGCUAAACCUCGGGGAAGUAAACAUAUCGUAUUCUAUAUAGAGAACAAAGACUUGGUUCCAUGUUGGAUAGACUACACUGUUUGGAGUAGUGCUGCAAGAGUCAUUAGCGCACACACAGGACUAUCCUAAUUUACAUGUAGUGCCAACACGACCCCCCCCCCCCCCCCCCCCAAAAAAAAAAAAAACCCAACCUACAUGGUAUGACACUGCCCAGGCAUUUUGCUAAGAAGACCUUCUCACAUAGGUCAACAAAACCCUUGAACCCUGGCCCACCCAUACACAGCGGCACCAUAGCCCAUGUGAGAACAACCACGACCUUGGGCCGGACCUUAUACUUGUCCUUCGGUGUGGGACAGCCAAGGAAAUUUUCUUUAACCCCAGCCUGAAAUUCGCUCGCACAGGGAGUAAACCCAAUCUGAGGAGUGCUACUAGGGCCACCUAACCAACUCAGCUAGAGGCCUGUCCGCAACAAUACCAAAUCAAACUGCUGUUAAUAAAGAGGGGGGGGGUGCAAAGUUGGUUCUGGAAAAGAGCAUAUUAGGAAUUAGGAUUCUCAAACUUUACUGUAUCACCCUAGGAUAGAUGUUAUUUACUUAAGCCUCGAGUUACUCAUUCUGUAGUGGUGCACCAUUUUCUAGUAUAAACUAUGUGAUAUAGCUGCUAUUGGAUUGUUGAUUUAAACCUGCUCUAUAAUUUUGAUGAAGAUUGAUGCUUCUCUGGAGCAAGGGGUGGACGCUGUGAGAACCCUUGUGCUUAAGGGUUUUUGUGGGAGUACUGAAAGAUUCAACCUUGUGCAGAAGUACAAGUUCCACAAAGUUUGAAUGCUUGAGGAUCCGUGAAAUGGUUGGGUUUACUUCUGCAAGAAACCUGAUAUGCACCAAUAUCAUUUGAACUGUUGGAUGUGGUGAUUUGCAGUUUUGAACUAUGCAGGCAUAACACAACGAGGGCGUGAAGUAAUCAUAUAUCUCCAUCUGUUGAUCACUCGCAUACAGAGGAAGACAUCAGGCUCAAUUAUUAAGGGAAGCUAUUGUUUAUUAUCCUGUGGUGGCCCAAAAAGCACUUAUGGAGAAAAUAAAGAGAUAUGGUUGCUGAAUAUUGUACAUAUGUUUUUUCUUAGCGGUGAAAUGGGUGAGGUCACCAUGGGUUUUAAACUACGCUCUAAACUAUUGUCAUCAUGAGCCAAAAAGAAGGAUUUUCCUUUGACAGCACAAUUUCGUGCGGGACCCUACUGGGAUUCGGGUGAUCUUAAAUGCUGCCUACUUUGUGCUUGCAAUCAACUAACAAAAAUGUUGUGGAUGUGACCAGGAUCCUUUCUUGAGGGGCAAUACAACAAACUCAACGCAAA